CUACGGGUGGCUGCAGUGGGGAAUAUUGCACAAUGUGCUCAAUCCUUAUUCAUCCAUGCCGCGUGUAUGAAGAAGGCCUUCGGGUUGUAAAGUACUUUCAGCGGGGAGGAAGGGAGUAAAGUUAAUACCUUUGCUCAUUGACGUUACCCGCAGAAGAAGCACCGGCUAACUCCGUGCCAGCAGCCGCGGUAAUACGGAGGGUGCAAGCGUUAAUCGGAAUUACUGGGCGUAAAGCGCACGCAGGCGGUUUGUUAAGUCAGAUGUGAAAUCCCCGGGCUCAACCUGGGAACUGCAUCUGAUACUGGCAAGCUUGAGUCUCGUAGAGGGGGGUAGAAUUCCAGGUGUAGCGGUGAAAUGCGUAGAGAUCUGGAGGAAUACCGGUGGCGAAGGUGGCCCCCUGGACGAAGACUGACGCUCAGGUGCGAAAGCGUGGGGAGCAAACAGGAUUAGAUACCCGAGUAGUC
Molecule: ribosomal RNA, 464 nt
Filed under: uncultured bacterium
Lineage: Bacteria
Description: partial 16S ribosomal RNA
Rfam family: Bacterial small subunit ribosomal RNA
Source: RNAcentral